Salmo salar (Atlantic salmon) is the source of this 93-nucleotide non-coding RNA. Lineage: Eukaryota; Metazoa; Chordata; Actinopteri; Salmoniformes; Salmonidae. The record is from Rfam.
UUUCCUGUGGCUCAGUUGGUAGAGCAUGGUGUUUGCAAUGCCAGCAUGGUGUGUACAACUCCAGGGUUGUGGGUUUGAUUCCCACGGGGGGAC